RNAcentral lists this ribosomal RNA (890 nucleotides) under uncultured bacterium. Its description in RNAcentral is "bacterial SSU rRNA". It matches the Rfam family "Bacterial small subunit ribosomal RNA", at positions 8 to 880 of the family's 1533-position model. The record is from RNAcentral.
AGAGUUUGAUCCUGGCUCAGGACGAACGCUGGCGGCGUGCCUAAUACAUGCAAGUAGAACGCUGAAGAGAGGAGCUUGCUCUUCUUGGAUGAGUUGCGAACGGGUGAGUAACGCGUAGGUAACCUGCCUGGUAGCGGGGGAUAACUAUUGGAAACGAUAGCUAAUACCGCAUGAAAUUGCUUAUCGCAUGAUAAUUAAUUGAAAGAUGCAAUUGCAUCACUACCAGAUGGACCUGCGUUGUAUUAGCUAGUUGGUGAGGUAACGGCUCACCAAGGCGACGAUACAUAGCCGACCUGAGAGGGUGAUCGGCCACACUGGGACUGAGACACGGCCCAGACUCCUACGGGAGGCAGCAGUAGGGAAUCUUCGGCAAUGGGGGGAACCCUGACCGAGCAACGCCGCGUGAGUGAAGAAGGUUUUCGGAUCGUAAAGCUCUGUUGUAAGAGAAGAACGGGUGUGAGAGUGGAAAGUUCACACUGUGACGGUAUCUUACCAGAAAGGGACGGCUAACUACGUGCCAGCAGCCGCGGUAAUACGUAGGUCCCGAGCGUUGUCCGGAUUUAUUGGGCGUAAAGCGAGCGCAGGCGGUUAGAUAAGUCUGAAGUUAAAGGCUGUGGCUUAACCAUAGUAUGCUUUGGAAACUGUUUAACUUGAGUGCAGAAGGGGAGAGUGGAAUUCCAUGUGUAGCGGUGAAAUGCGUAGAUAUAUGGAGGAACACCGGUGGCGAAAGCGGCUCUCUGGUCUGUAACUGACGCUGAGGCUCGAAAGCGUGGGGAGCAAACAGGAUUAGAUACCCUGGUAGUCCACGCCGUAAACGAUGAGUGCUAGGUGUUAGGCCCUUUCCGGGGCUUAGUGCCGCAGCUAACGCACUAAGCACUCCGCCUGGGGAG